GUCUGACUAUAGGAAAGAGGUAGCUACUACAGGUCUGACUAUAGGAAAGAGGUACUACUACAGGUCUGACUACAGGAAAGAGGUAGCUACUACAGGUCUGACUACAGGAAAGAGGUAGCUACUACAGGUCUGACUACAGGAAAGAGGUACUACUACAGGUCUGACUAUAGGAAAGAGGUACUACUACAGGUCUGACUACAGGAAAGAGGUACUACUACAGGUCUGACUAUAGGAAAGAGGUACUACUACAGGUCUGACUAUAGGAAAGAGGUACUACUACAGGUCUGACUAUAGGAAAGAGGUACUACUACAGGUCUUUGACUACAGGAAAGGGGUACUACUACAGGUCUGACUAUAGGAAAGGGGUACUACUACAGGUCUGACUAUAGGAAAGAGGUACUACUACAGGUCUGACUACAGGAAAUGGGUACUACUACAGGUCUGACUAUAGGAAAGGGGUAGCUACUACAGAUCUGACUAUAGGAAAGGGGUACUACUACAGGUCUUUGACUACAGGAAAGGGGUACUACUACAGGUAUUUCUGUGACCUGGUGUUCUCCAGCAGCUGAACACAUGUACAUAGCAGUCCUGACAUGGGUUUCAAUCAGACACACUGCUCUUCAGGACAACUCUCUCCCUCCCUCCGGUCUUACUCACUGUCCUAUCCAGUCACCUUCUCACUGGGGGGAUUUUAGCUUAUUUACAAAACAUGUACAAAAUAUGAAAGAAGUGUGAAAUGAAUGAUUACAGAGUGACUAGAUUCAUUAUUACAGGAGUGACUCGAUUCAUUAUUACAGGAGUGACUAGAUUCAUUAUUACAGGAGUGACUAGAUUCAUUAUUACAGGAGUGACUAGAUUCAUUAUUACAGGAGUGACUAGAUUCAUUAUUACAGGAGUGACUAGAUUCAUUACUACAAGAGUGACUAGAUUCAUUAUUACAGGAGUGACUAGAUUCAUUACUACAGGAGUGACUAGAUUCAUUAUUACCGGAGUGACUAGA
Long non-coding RNA from Oncorhynchus keta (chum salmon), 1000 nucleotides. RefSeq lists it as uncharacterized. The record is from RefSeq and is a predicted model, not a curated record. The transcript has 3 exons. Lineage: Eukaryota; Metazoa; Chordata; Actinopteri; Salmoniformes; Salmonidae.